UUCCAGACUCCUACGGGAGGCAGCAGUGGGGAAUAUUGCACAAUGGGCGAAAGCCUGAUGCAGCAACGCCGCGUGAAGGAAGAAGGGUUUCGGCUCGUAAACUUCUAUCAACAGGGACGAAAGAAAUGACGGUACCUGAAUAAGAAGCCCCGGCUAACUACGUGCCAGCAGCCGCGGUAAUACGUAGGUGGCAAGCGUUGUCCGGAUUUACUGGGUGUAAAGGGCGUGUAGCCGGGUUGACAAGUCAGAUGUGAAAUCCUGCGGCUUAACCGCAGAACUGCAUUUGAAACUGUUGAUCUUGAGUACUGGAGAGGCAGACGGAAUUCCUAGUGUAGCGGUGAAAUGCGUAGAUAUUAGGAGGAACACCAGUGGCGAAGGCGGUCUGCUGGACAGCAACUGACGGUGAGGCGCGAAAGCGUGGGGAGCAAACAGGAUUAGAUACCCGCGUA
Molecule: ribosomal RNA, 449 nt
Filed under: uncultured bacterium
Lineage: Bacteria
Description: bacterial SSU rRNA
Rfam family: Bacterial small subunit ribosomal RNA
Source: RNAcentral